This 72-nucleotide transfer RNA is filed under the name Ovis aries (sheep). It matches the Rfam family "tRNA". Rfam says of the family: Transfer RNA (tRNA) molecules are approximately 80 nucleotides in length. Their secondary structure includes four short double-helical elements and three loops (D, anti-codon, and T loops). Lineage: Eukaryota; Metazoa; Chordata; Mammalia; Artiodactyla; Bovidae. The record is from Rfam by way of RNAcentral.
UCCCUGGUGGCUCAGACGGUAAAGCGUCUGCCUGAAAUGCGGGAGACCCAGGUUUGAUCCCUGGGUCGGGAA